Small nuclear RNA from Macaca fascicularis (crab-eating macaque), 104 nucleotides. NCBI's taxonomy places the organism in Eukaryota, Metazoa, Chordata, Mammalia, Primates, Cercopithecidae. The record is from Ensembl.
GUGCUCACUGUGGCAGCACAUAUACUAAAAUUGGAAUGAUACAGAGAUUAGCAUGGCCCCUGCACAAGGAUGACACGUGAACACAUCAAGUGGUUCAUGUCUUU